AUGCUUAAAAUAGAUCUUGCCAAAGCUUUUGAUCGAAUAGAAUGGGAUUUCAUCAAGAGAGCCUUGCUUCGCAAAGGGCUACAUGAUCAUUUUGACAAUCUUAUUAUCAAAUGCAUUUCUUCUGCCACUUUUUCUGAUAACAUAAAUGGGCAGCCUGUUGGCAGCUUUAAAGGAUCUCGAGGUAACCGACAAGGUUGUCCUCUAUCGCGAUAUCCUUUUAUUCUUGAUGUCAAUGAAUUGCCGCUUUCGAUGCAGGAUGCUUUCAAUACAAAUCUCUUGAGUAGCAUACAACUAGGUCCAUCUUGUCCUGCCAUUCAUUCUUUAAUGUUUGCUAAUGAUCUUAUCGUUUGUGGGAGAGAUGAUAAUUUGGAUGCUAAUAUUAUUGCACAUUAUUGAUCAGUUUUGUGCUGCUCCUGGUCAAACUCCUAA
This 429-nucleotide ribosomal RNA is filed under the name Triticum aestivum (bread wheat). RNAcentral's name for it is "partial small subunit ribosomal RNA". The record is from RNAcentral. Lineage: Eukaryota; Viridiplantae; Streptophyta; Magnoliopsida; Poales; Poaceae.